AAUGCAGUCGAGCGGAAACGAGUUAUCUGAACCUUCGGGGAACGAUAACGGCGUCGAGGGCGGACGGGUGAGUAUGCCUAGGAAAUUGCCCUGAUGUGGGGKAUAACCAUUGGAAACGAUGGCUAAUACCGCAURAUGCCUACGGSCAAAGAGGGGGACCUUCGGGCCUCUCGCGUCAGGAUAUGCCUWGGUGGGAUUAGCUAGUUGGUGAGGUAAGGGCUCACCWAGGCGACGAUCCCURGCUGGUCUGAGAGGAUGAUCAGCCAYACUGGAACUGAGACACGGUCCAGACUCC
RNAcentral lists this ribosomal RNA (295 nucleotides) under Vibrio neocaledonicus. Its description in RNAcentral is "partial 16S ribosomal RNA". It matches the Rfam family "Bacterial small subunit ribosomal RNA", at positions 60 to 339 of the family's 1533-position model. The record is from RNAcentral. Lineage: Bacteria; Pseudomonadati; Pseudomonadota; Gammaproteobacteria; Vibrionales; Vibrionaceae.